GGGCCGCGCCCAGCACCGGCACCCCGACGGCACCCGGGCACCGGCGGGGCUCCUCCUCGCUCUCUGCUAUGGACAGUGCCAUCACCCUGUGGCAGUUCCUCCUCCAGCUGCUGCAAGAGCCCCAGAACAAGAACAUCAUCUGCUGGACCUCCACCGACGGGGAAUUCAAGCUGCUGCAGGCAGAGGAGGUGGCCAGGCUCUGGGGGAUCCGCAAGAACAAGCCCAGCAUGAACUAUGAUAAACUCAGCCGGGCGCUGCGCUACUACUACGUGAAGAACAUCAUCAAGAAGGUGAACGGGAAGAAGUUUGUGUACAAAUUCGUGUCCUACCCCGAGAUCCUCAACAUGGACCCGCUUGUGGUGGGCAGGAUGGAGGGGGACCCCGAGGUGCCCGGCUUUGGGGAGGUCCCCAGCGCCCCCAAGGAGGCCGAGAGCUGCGGCAAGGAGAAAUCGCAGCCGUGCGCCAAGUCCUCGAGCCGCAACGACUACAUCCACUCAGGCCUCUACUCCUCCUUCACCCUCAACUCCCUCAACUCCUCCGGCGUGAAGCUCUUCAGGUCCAUCAAGAUCGAGAACCCGGCCGAGAAGCUGGCGGAGAAGAAACCUCAGGACGCCGCCCCUUCUGUCAUCAAGUUUGUCACCGUGCCCUCCAAGAAGCCGCCCUCCGCCCCGCUGGCGUCGGCCGCCUCGGCCGUGGCCGUCACCUCCGCGGCCUCCGCCGCCCCCGGCGCGGCCUCCUCGCUGCCGCUGGGCUCCGAGGAGACUCUGCACACGCUGGAGACUCUGGUGCUGCCCAAGCUGAGCGUCCCCGAGGCCCCUCCGGCGCCUUUGCCGAGCCUGAGCGCCAGCUACGCCCCCACGCCCCCCGUCGCCUCGGUUUCCCCCGCGCUCCAGGCGCCCUCCACGCCGCCCUCGCCGCCGCUGAGCUCCAACCCCGAGCUGGACAUUGACACGGACAUCGAGUCCGUGGCCUCCCAGCAGCUGGAGCAGGCCCAGAGCCUGCAGCAGCCGUCCCCAGAGCCCAAGGAGCAGCAGGAUUCAGCUGGGCUGGAGAAGGAGUUUGCCAAUCACCUCUCCAGGGCCAAAAAACCCAAAGGGCUGGAGCUGGCCCCCACCCUGGUCAUCACCGGCAGCGACCCCAGCCCGCUGGGCAUCCUCAGCCCUUCCCUCCCAACCGCUUCUCUGACUCCAGCACUUUUCUCUCAGACCCCCAUCCUGCUGACCCCCAGCCCGCUGCUCUCCAGCAUCCACUUCUGGAGCACCCUGAGCCCCGUGGCGCCGCUGAGCCCCGCCCGCCUGCAGGGCGCCAACACCCUCUUCCAGUUUCCAUCCGUGCUGAACAGUCAUGGCCCAUUUACCCUGUCUGGGCUGGAUGGACCCUCCACCCCCGGCCCCUUUUCCCCAGACCUGCAGAAGACAUAGCACAAGGAAUUCAUCCAUCCCUGCACAAGGACACAGCAAGGCAAGCACGGGACAUUUCAUUUUUUUUUUAAAAAAAACAAGCAGUUUGUAAUUCCACUGAGAUUCUCAACACUUGGAGUUGGAGUUGUUGCCGUUCCCGAAUCCAAAAAAAAACAAAAAAAAAAUGACAAAAAAAAGCCUUUUUUGUGCAAAAAUUCCCCAUUUUUUUGGAAGAACCCAGGUUGGGAAUGUAUAUGCAAACGCCUUAAUAGGAGCUGCAGCUCCAAUUUUUUUCUCCUCCUCCUCACUUUGGAAAAAUUUUUUUCCCUGCAUCCAAAAGGGAUUUUUGGGUGGUGUUGCAGCGACUGAGCCUGCACAAACAGCACCGGAGGAGGUUUGUCUCUGUGACUUUUGGAAAAAAAACAAACAAAAAACAAACAAAAAACAAACAAAAAACAAACAAAAAACAAACCAAACCCUCUGUUCUUCAGCAAGGAGAACCCUGAAUCCUGAUGGAAGCUGGAAUUCCAGGAAAAGUUUGGGAAUAUUGGAGUUUGUGCUGCCAGCUCUGCCCUGAGGGCGCCACAACUUUUGUGCAGCAUCAAAAGCACCAGAACUUCUCUGCUGCCUUUGUCUUUAUUUGUAUUUUAUUUUUUUUUUUCCUUCAAGGAUUUAUUCCAGAUUUAUAUCCAGGACAAUUCUGUGGAGAGAAGAUUUGGGGCUGGAUUUUGGGUAUUUCCCCUCCCACGAGGGGUGGGAUGAGCUCCUUUCGCUUCUCACAGACUUUCAAUGCUGGAGUCCAAACAUUUCUUGUGCCACAGCCUGGGAGCUCCAUGCUGGAUCAGCAGGGUGGGAGGAUUUUAUCUGCAAUUUUGGGAGGUUUUUCUUGCAAUUUUGGGAGGUUUUCCUGCAGUUUGGGAGGUUUUCCUGCAGUUCUGGGGGGUUUUUCUUGGAAUUUUGGGAGUUUUCCCUGCAGUUCUGGGAGGUUUUUCUGCAAUAUUGGGAGGUUUUUCUUGGAAUUUUGGGAGGUUUUCCUGCAGUUUUGGGAGGUUUUUCCUGAGUUUUAGGGGUUUUCCUGCAGUUCUGGGAGGUUUUUCUUGGAAUUUUGGGAGGUUUUUCUUGCAAUUUUGGGAGGUUUUCCUGCAGUUUUGGGAGGAUUUUCUUGCAAUUUUGGGAGGUUUUUCUUGGAAUUUUGGGAGGUUUUCCUGCAGUUUUGGGAGGUUUUUCCUGAGUUUUAGGGGUUUUCCUGCAGUUUUGGGAGGUUUUCCUGCAAUUUUGGGGGGUUUUCCUGCAGUUUGGGAGGGUUUUCCUGCAGUUUUGAGGGAUUUCUCUUGGGUUUUGGGGGACUUUCCUUGGUUUUUGGGGAAUUUCCCCUUGGUUUGGGGGAAUUUUCCCUGGAUUUUAGGGGAGGUUGCUGUCUGACUGCAAUUCCAGAGCCCAGCAUUAGUGUUGCUCUUCUUCCCCCACAGUUCUGGAAAAUUUUCCUGCUUUUCCCCACAUGGAAAACUCCUUUUUUUCCACCUCUUACCCCAAGUUUUGCAGUGGAACUGUUGAUUUUGGGGUUGUUUUUUGGCCCCAAACCAGGCUGAAUUUAAAAAUUCCCCUAAAACUGCUCUUCUUCCCUCACAGUUCUGGAAAAUUUUCCUUAUUUUCCUCACAAAAAUUCCCCUAAAACUGCUCUUCUUCCCUCACAGUUCUGGAAAAUUUUCCUUAUUUUCCUCACAAAAAUUCCCCUAAAACUGCUCUUCUUCCCCCACAGUUCUGGAAAAUUUUCCUGAUUUUCCCCACAAAAAUUCCCCUAAAACUGCUCUUCUUCCCCCACAGUUCUGGAAAAUUUUCCUUAUUUUCCUCACAAAAAUUCCCCUAAAACUGCUCUUCUUCCCUCACAGUUCUGGAAAAUUUUCCUGAUUUUCCUCACAAAAAUUCCCCUAAAACUGCUCUUCCCUCACAGUUCUGGAAAAUUUUCCUGCUUUUCCCCACAUGGAAAACUCCUCUUUUCCCAGUUUUUACCCCAAGUUUUGCAGUGGAACUGUUGAUUUUGGGGUUGUUUUUUAGGCCCCAAACCAGGCUGAGGGUUUAAUAACCUCGUGGUAAAUCAGUUUUUACCUCCUUGCUGUGCUGGAUUCCUGAUUUUCCAGAGCCAGUGGGGGUGAGAUGGAAUUUGCAGGUGGAUUUUCCUCCACCUCAGGAGGCCUUUUAAGAAAACUGAGGGGCGAAAAAUGAGAAUUUUUCCUCCCUCAUCCCCUCAGUGUGGGAUUGUUGGGCUGUGGCUUUGUGUCUUUCCACAUUUGGGACAUCUGAUGUCAGGCUUUGAGUUGGGGCUGCCAGAGGAUUUUCCCCAUUAAAAAUUCCCAGAAAACUGCUCUUCUUCCCCCACAGUUCUGGAAAAUUUUCCUUAUUUUCCUCACAAAACUUCCCCUAAAACUGCUCUUCUUCCCUCACAGUUCUGGAAAAUUUUCCUUAUUUUCCUCACAAAAAUUCCCCUAAAACUGCUCUUCUUCCCCCACAGUUCUGGAAAAUUUUCCUGCUUUUCCCCACAAAAAAAUUCCCAGAAAACUGCUCUUCUUCCCUCACAGUUCUGGAAAAUUUUCCUGAUUUUCCUCACAAAAAUUCCCAGAAAACUGCUCUUCUUCCCUCACAGUUCUGGAAAAUUUUCCUGAUUUUCCUCACAAAAAUUCCCCUAAAACUGCUCUUCUUCCCUCACAGUUCUGGAAAAUUUUCCUGCUUUUCCCCACAUGGAAAACUCCUUUUUUUCCACCUCUUACCCCAAGUUUUGCAGUGGAACUGUUGAUUUUGGGGUAGUUUUUUGGCCCCAAACCAGGCUGAAUUUAAAAAUUCCCCUAAAACUGCUCUUCUUCCCUCACAGUUUUGGAAAAUUUUCCUGAUUUUCCCCACAUGGAAAACUCUUUUUCCCAGUUUUGCAGUGGAACUUUUGAUUUUGGGGUUGUUUUUUAGGCCCCAAACCAGGCUGAGGGUUUAACCUCAUGGUAAAUCAGUUUUUACCUCCUUGCUGUGCUGGAUUCCUGAUUUUCCAGAGCCAGUGGAGGUGAGAUGGAAUUUGCAGGUGGAUUUUCCUCCACCUCAGGAGGCCUUUUAAGAAAACUGAGGGGCGAAAAAUGAGAAUUUUUCCUCUCUCAUCCCCUCAGUGUGGGAUUGUUGGGCUGUUGGUUUUUGUCUUUCCACAUUUGGGGCAUCUGAUGUCAGGCUUUGAGUUGGGGGUGUCAGAGGAUUUUCCCCCAUUAAAAAUUCCCAGAAAACUGCUCUUCUUCCCCCACAGUUCUGGAAAAUUUUCCUGCUUUUCCCAACAAAAAAAUUCCCAGAAAACUGCUCUUCUUCCCUCACAGUUCUGGAACAUUUUCCUUAUUUUCCUCACAAAAAUUCCCCUAAAACUGCUCUUCUUCCCUCACAGUUCUGGAAAAUUUUCUGAUUUUCCCCACAAAAAUUCCCCUAAAACUGCUCUUCUUCCCCCACAGUUCUGGAAAAUUUUCCUGCUUUUCCCCACAUGGAAAACUCUUUUUCCCAGUUUUGCAGUGGAACUGUUGAUUUUGGGGUUGUUUUUUGGCCCCAAACCAGGCUGAAUUUAAAAAUUCCCCUAAAACUGCUCUUCUUCCCUCACAGUUUUGGAAAAUUUUCCUGAUUUUCCCCACAUGGAAAACUCUUUUUCCCAGUUUUGCAGUGGAACUGUUGAUUUUGGGGUUGUUUUUUAGGCCCCAAACCAGGCUGAGGGUUUAACCUGGUGGUAAAUCAGUUUUUACCUCCUUGCUGUGCUGGAUUCCUGAUUUUCCAGAGCCAGUGGGGGUGAGAUGGAAUUUGCAGGUGGAUUUUCCUCCACCUCAGGAGGCCUUUUAAGAAAACUGAGGGGCGAAAAAUGAGAAUUUUUCCUCCCUCAUCCCCUCAGUGUGGAUUUUCGGGCUGUGGCUUUGUGUCUUUCCACACUGAGAGGUUUUUCCCCAUAAAAAUUCCCAGGAAACAGAUGGAAACUUCUCUUCCUUCAGGAAGAUUUUAUUUUCCCCGUGCAGCACCAGGAGCUGGCAGAGUUUGCUGUAAAUAACUGCACCUAUUCCAUGGAAAACUCAAAACUUUCCCAGAGUUUUUCUUUUUUUUUUCUGCCACUUUUGCAGGCUUGGAAUUCCCUUUAAAAGCCACAACACCCAGGAUUUUCCUUUGACGUUUCCCUUUCUAUAUCCUGACAUUGAAAAACAACAAAAAAACCCCAAAAAUCCCACUUUUGUGUAUUCCUGAUGUGACAGGUGGGUGGAAUAUUUUUUUAUUUUUUGGGGCAUUGUUCACCUGCCCAGGGGGAAAAGUGGGAGGAAAAAAAAAAGAUAAAAAAAUUCAAUUUUCAGGUGGGGAAGUAGGGAGUGAGCUCAAGGAGGCAAAAAAUGCUUCACAUUUUGACAUCAGCACCUGCAGGAGGAAAUUCCUGCACCAGCAGCUUUUAAAAUGUGCAAUAUUGAACCUUUUUUAUUUUCAUUUUAUUUUCAUUUUAUUUUUUUGGAACGCGGGAGCGAAGCUGCGGCCGAUCACGGAGAUCUGGAAUUAUUAUUUUUUGUUUUUAUUUUUGCUCUGCGUGUUCGGAGCCUGCUCUGGGAAAUUUCUGGAGCUGUUUGUAAAUAAAUUGCAGCACUUUGCUUGGUUCAGGUUGGUUUGAUGCCUACCAAAUAAUAACUUGGACUUUUUUGACAUUUUGCAGGCUGGGAUUUGAAUUGAAAAUUCAUCAGUGAGCACUAAAAAAUUUGCAAUUUAAUUGCUUCCCUUUCCCCCUUUAUUCCCUUUGUGGAGAAAAGCCAAUUUAGCUGUUGUAAAAUUAAUUGUGCACUUAAUUGUGUUUUUUUAUAGCUUUGGACAGAGGGUUAAGCCCCCCCCCCAAAAAAUAAUAAUAAUAAUAUUUGUGGGCUCCUCUCCAAGAAAGUUCCACAGAAAUCCAGAUUUUCCCUGUGGAAAUGAAGCUUGGAUGGGAAAAAUUUCCACCAGGUAAAGCAGGAAAAAUAAAAAAAUGAGGCGGGAAAAAUAAAAAAGUGAGGGAGGAAAAAUAAAAAUGAGGGAGGAAAAAUAAAAAUGAGGGAGGAAAAAUAAAACAGGGAGGA
Molecule: RNA transcript, 6487 nt
Organism: Melospiza melodia melodia
Lineage: Eukaryota; Metazoa; Chordata; Aves; Passeriformes; Passerellidae
Gene name: ETS domain-containing protein Elk-4-like
Exons: 6
Source: RefSeq, a predicted model, not a curated record